Molecule: long non-coding RNA, 558 nt
Organism: Vicia villosa (hairy vetch)
Lineage: Eukaryota; Viridiplantae; Streptophyta; Magnoliopsida; Fabales; Fabaceae
Exons: 3
Source: RefSeq, a predicted model, not a curated record
AAAGUUAUUUGUAUUUUUCCUCUCUCCAUUAAAACCAAACAACCCACACAACCCACCUGCAACUGCAAUAAACCUUCUUCUUUACUUACCAUCACCCAUCACAAACCGCAUAAAAACACCUUAACACUACCUCCAAAAAAACCGUAAACUCACUUCAAUAUAAACCUCAUUCUACAACCACGUUCUCCUUCCGAUGUUCACUCUCCACAACUUCAACAAGCGGAGCCAACACCUGCCACCAUCAUGUUCCGACGCAAAAGGCUUAUCUAUCACCGCAUCGGACAAAUCUCCAUGGAAAACCACUAAAUAACAACCAAAGACAGCUCCACCCUUGGGUCUUUCAAUGAGGAGGUUAGAUAUAAAAGCUUGACUCUUUUCUUUCCUCUCUACUGAAUCGAUUCACGGUUACAAAAGAUGAUUUCCUCUCAGUAGCUUAAAAGGAUUUUAUGUCCGUUCAUCUCCAUUCUACACCCAACCUCAAUAUUUUCCUCUCUCUAGGAUGUUUGAUGCUGAUAUCAGUGACAAUGUUACUGGUCAAGGAUGUGUAAUUAAGGCAAG